UCAGGGACUCCAGUUACACCGGUUACAUGGCAUGAAGAUUCCCACAGCUUACAGGUUCUUCUCAUUGUGAGUUUUCAAUAAUAUGUAUCAUCAUCAACAUAGUUACCUUGCUGCACAAUGGAGCUCCUGGGAUUUAUUCUUCAUCUAUCUGCAUCUAUACUUCAGUGUUUAAUGUCUGGCUUCAAAAAGGGGAAAAACGAAGAGGAAGGGGAUAUUAAUGCCCUCUCCCCCUCACGGAGUGUUCUUCCAAUGGAGGGGAGGCCCUGUCCCUCUAGGAGAAGCUACAGCAGCAAUGAUCGUCUUUCUUUGUGAUCAGAAGUAGUUCCUAGAAAUCUGACCACAAGUGAUGAAACUGUGGAGGGAAGUGUCCCUUUAAUCUGCCUGGACUCAUCGAAGGUGUGUGCAAGUCACUUCUGGAGCACACAAAGAGACCUCUGCCAUGGAACUACAGAGAGGGGGUGAGUGGUUGCCCUGGUGCUCUGAGCAGAAAUCGACUAAACAUCACCUCUUAGCCUCCUUGGAACUUGCAACCCUCCCGCUGUUUCUAGGGUUUGAAAAUCUUUACACCAGGCAGAUUCUGAUAGGUUGAGGUGAGAGAUAGGUUCCUGAUGCUUUCUACCCACCAUGCUUCUAUCCAAUUAAUGUUGGCUUUGACAUACACUAGGUAUAAUUCCCAUUGUGCCAUUUUUGUAUCGCUGAUGAGUCCCUGAAGAAAUACCCAAUCCCCUCAUGCAUUAUAUAUUGUUAUUUGCCUCUAAAAAUCUAAGUAUCUUCAUAACA
This is a non-coding RNA of Cricetulus griseus (Chinese hamster), 780 nucleotides long. Lineage: Eukaryota; Metazoa; Chordata; Mammalia; Rodentia; Cricetidae. The record is from RefSeq and is a predicted model, not a curated record.